GUUUACACUCUUGAUAUUUAGUUAUUUAUGUAUUUAAUUUUUGAGACUCAGCAGUCUGGUUGUGGUAAGGUGGACCAUUGGUAGACACUAAUGCAUGCUCUAGUAUUUACAUGGUGGAAAUGACAGAGAGAAGCGGGAAGGAAUUCUCAUUAGAUUGCUUUACUAGAUUAGAGCUCAUAAACCUGCUGGUAAUACCCAGGCAUCCUGGAUAUGAAGGGUGAAGAUGAGGAAGAUUAAGUCACACGAAAGCCAAGUUAUUACAGGCCCUUGGUUUUAUGAAAACCAUAAAACUUCCCAUGCAAUUUCUGAAGGGUGAGGCCUGCUGCUAUGCUGUGAUGACACUGAUACAAUAAUGGAGAAGCUCAUGAAGAGAGGUCUCCAGUCAACAAGGAAUUGGGGUUGCUAACAACUAUGUGAUUGAGCUCAAGCCUUUAGAAGACUGCAGCCCUUAACACCUUGUGAAGGACCCUGGGCCACUCUCACCCAGAUAAGCUGCUCCGAGACUCCUAGACCUCAGAAAUUGUGUUACACAGAAAGUGAUUUUUUGUCUUAAGCUGCUAAAUUUGAGAGUAACUUGUUAUGCAGCAAUAAAUAGGUAAUACAGGGCUUAAGGAAAAUUAAGGGAAAGUUGGGAUAUGGAGGCCAAGAACAUUAAAGCCCAUUAAGGAGUUUUUGCAUUUUAUUCUCCCACAAAA
Long non-coding RNA from Eptesicus fuscus (big brown bat), 695 nucleotides. RefSeq lists it as uncharacterized. NCBI's taxonomy places the organism in Eukaryota, Metazoa, Chordata, Mammalia, Chiroptera, Vespertilionidae. The transcript is spliced from 4 exons. The record is from RefSeq and is a predicted model, not a curated record.